Molecule: ribosomal RNA, 785 nt
Filed under: uncultured sediment bacterium
Lineage: Bacteria
Description: bacterial SSU rRNA
Rfam family: Bacterial small subunit ribosomal RNA
Source: RNAcentral
AGAGUUUGAUCCUGGCUCAGAACGAACGCUGGCGGUAUGCCUAACACAUGCAAGUCGAACGCGAACGGAAUCNUCGGAUUCCUAGUAGAGUGGCGCACGGGUGAGUAACACGUGGAUAACCUGCCCUAAAGUCUGGGAUAACACUUCGAAAGGGGUGCUAAUACCGGAUAAGCUCACGCCUUCUUCGGAAGAAGUGAGAAAAGAUUUAUUGCUUUAGGAUGGGUCCGCGGUCCAUUAGCUAGUUGGUGGGGUAACGGCCUACCAAGGCUGCGAUGGAUAGCUGGUCUGAGAGGAUGAUCAGCCACACUGGAACUGAGACACGGUCCAGACUCCUACGGGAGGCAGCAGUGGGGAAUUUUGCGCAAUGGGGGAAACCCUGACGCAGCAAUACCGCGUGAAGGAUGAAGGCCCUUGGGUCGUAAACUUCUGUCAGAGGGGAAGAAAUACUCGCAAGAGUGCUGACGGUACCCUCAAAGGAAGCACCGGCUAACUCCGUGCCAGCAGCCGCGGUAAUACGGAGGGUGCAAGCGUUGUUCGGAAUUAUUGGGCGUAAAGAGCAUGUAGGUGGACUAUUAAGUCUGGUGUGAAAGCCCGGGGCUCAACCCCGGAAGUGCAUCGGAUACUGGUAGUCUUGAGUAUGGGAGAGGAAAGUGGAAUUCCGAGUGUAGGAGUGAAAUCCGUAGAUAUUCGGAGGAACACCAGUGGCGAAGGCGGCUUUCUGGACCAAUACUGACACUGAGAUGCGAAAGCGUGGGGAGCGAACAGGAUUAGAUACCCUGGUAGCC